GUAUGAACGAAGCAGAUGAGUGAUGGCAACUGAAAGGAUUCAUGAGGGCUCGCCGGUGACAUUGGGUUUCACCGAUAGAUUAGCGAGGAGAGAUCGUCUCCGGGGUUUGACGAGGCCGAAGGGGAGGAAAGGGGGAGGCAGCGAGGCUUCCCUCUUUUCGUCCGGUUGUGGGGUGCGAAGGGGAAAAGGGAACCGGUAACUGGAGUGAUGCGAGCAGCAGCAGCGACGAGUCGAGACCCUCGGAGGUCUUUGUUCGAUAGGAACAUAAGAGAAAGGGAAGCGAGGGCAAAGGAGGUUCCCAGUCUUUGGCCGGUUGUGCAGGGGAAACGAAGGCAGAAAAAUGGGAGGCUUCGGGGAUGUUUGCGAUCGGUGGUGUGUUUGGCAGUGGAGGUCGACGGGAAGAAGGGCAGGUAUUCGGUGUUGGGUUUGCUUGAUAAUCACAGGUGGGUGUUUUGUUGCUUCAAAUUGACAGGGAGAAAAUGAAGCAAAAAAAAAAUGUGUUGUUCUUCUUGUUUGCAGUCUACACGAAAUCAAGAACACGAGUGAUCUUGUGUUCUUGGCUGGAAUCGAUGCAGAAAGAAAAGAAUAUGGAGGUGUUUGGGUUUGUUGUUUUCACAGGGAAUGAAACACGAACAGAAGAAGAUUUAGAGUGUUUGAGUGGGUUUAGGUACCCAUACCAGUCACUAUAAAGUUUUCUGUAAUCUGAAUAUUCGUAAGAAUGAUGAUUGUUAAGAAAAAAUAUUAAAAUGAUUGAAUAUUGAA
Lactuca sativa (garden lettuce) is the source of this 762-nucleotide non-coding RNA. The record is from RefSeq and is a predicted model, not a curated record. NCBI's taxonomy places the organism in Eukaryota, Viridiplantae, Streptophyta, Magnoliopsida, Asterales, Asteraceae.